RNAcentral lists this ribosomal RNA (1353 nucleotides) under uncultured bacterium. RNAcentral describes it as "16S ribosomal RNA". It matches the Rfam family "Bacterial small subunit ribosomal RNA", at positions 28 to 1379 of the family's 1533-position model. The record is from RNAcentral.
AUUGAACGCUGGCGGCAGGCUUAACACAUGCAAGUCGAACGAUGAUUAUCUAGCUUGCUAGAUAUGAUUAGUGGCGGACGGGUGAGUAACAUUUAGGAAUCUGCCUAGUAGUGGGGGAUAGCUCGGGGAAACUCGAAUUAAUACCGCAUACGACCUACGGGUGAAAGGGGGCGCAAGCUCUUGCUAUUAGAUGAGCCUAAAUCAGAUUAGCUAGUUGGUGGGGUAAAGGCCCACCAAGGCGACGAUCUGUAACUGGUCUGAGAGGAUGAUCAGUCACACCGGAACUGAGACACGGUCCGGACUCCUACGGGAGGCAGCAGUGGGGAAUAUUGGACAAUGGGGGCAACCCUGAUCCAGCCAUGCCGCGUGUGUGAAGAAGGCCUUUUGGUUGUAAAGCACUUUAAGCAGGGAGGAGAGGCUAAUGGUUAAUACCCAUUAGAUUAGACGUUACCUGCAGAAUAAGCACCGGCUAACUCUGUGCCAGCAGCCGCGGUAAUACAGAGGGUGCGAGCGUUAAUCGGAAUUACUGGGCGUAAAGCGAGUGUAGGUGGCUCAUUAAGUCACAUGUGAAAUCCCCGGGCUUAACCUGGGAACUGCAUGUGAUACUGGUGGUGCUAGAAUAUGUGAGAGGGAAGUAGAAUUCCAGGUGUAGCGGUGAAAUGCGUAGAGAUCUGGAGGAAUACCGAUGGCGAAGGCAGCUUCCUGGCAUAAUAUUGACACUGAGAUUCGAAAGCGUGGGUAGCAAACAGGAUUAGAUACCCUGGUAGUCCACGCCGUAAACGAUGUCUACUAGCCGUUGGGGUCCUUGAGACUUUAGUGGCGCAGUUAACGCGAUAAGUAGACCGCCUGGGGAGUACGGCCGCAAGGUUAAAACUCAAAUGAAUUGACGGGGGCCCGCACAAGCGGUGGAGCAUGUGGUUUAAUUCGAUGCAACGCGAAGAACCUUACCUGGUCUUGACAUAGUGAGAAUCCUGCAGAGAUGCGGGAGUGCCUUCGGGAAUUCACAUACAGGUGCUGCAUGGCUGUCGUCAGCUCGUGCCGUGAGAUGUUGGGUUAAGUCCCGCAACGAGCGCAACCCUUUUCCUUAUUUGCCAGCGGGUUAAGCCGGGAACUUUAAGGAUACUGCCAGUGACAAACUGGAGGAAGGCGGGGACGACGUCAAGUCAUCAUGGCCCUUACGACCAGGGCUACACACGUGCUACAAUGGUAGGUACAGAGGGUUGCUACACAGCGAUGUGAUGCUAAUCUCAAAAAGCCUAUCGUAGUCCGGAUUGGAGUCUGCAACUCGACUCCAUGAAGUCGGAAUCGCUAGUAAUAGCAGAUCAGAAUGCUGCGGUGAAUAAGUUCCCGGGC